GACGAACGCUGGCGGCGUGCCUAACACAUGCAAGUCGAACGGGCGAGGAGGAGCUUGCUUCUCCAAGUCAGUGGCGGACGGGUGAGUAACGCGUGAGUAACCUGCCCUUCAGAGGGGGAUAACGUCUGGAAACGGACGCUAAUACCGCAUGACAUAUUUCCAUCGCAUGGUGGAGAUAUCAAAGGAGCAAUCCGCUGAAGGAUGGACUCGCGUCCGAUUAGAUAGUUGGCGGGGUAACGGCCCACCAAGUCGACGAUCGGUAGCCGGACUGAGAGGUUGAACGGCCACAUUGGGACUGAGACACGGCCCAGACUCCUACGGGAGGCAGCAGUGGGGGAUAUUGCACAAUGGGCGAAAGCCUGAUGCAGCAACGCCGCGUGAGGGAAGACGGUUUUCGGAUUGUAAACCUCUGUUCUAAGUGACGAACAAAUGACGGUAGCUUAGGAGAAAGCCCCGGCUAACUACGUGCCAGCAGCCGCGGUAAUACGUAGGGGGCAAGCGUUGUCCGGAAUUACUGGGUGUAAAGGGAGCGCAGGCGGAGAAGCAAGUCAGUGGUGAAAACGAUGGGCUUAACUCAUCGACUGCCAUUGAAACUGUUUCCCUUGAGUGAAGUAGAGGCAGGCGGAAUUCCGAGUGUAGCGGUGAAAUGCGUAGAUAUUCGGAGGAACACCAGUGGCGAAGGCGGCCUGCUGGGCUUUAACUGACGCUGAGGCUCGAAAGUGUGGGGAGCAAACAGG
Molecule: ribosomal RNA, 737 nt
Filed under: uncultured Lachnospiraceae bacterium
Lineage: Bacteria; Bacillati; Bacillota; Clostridia; Lachnospirales; Lachnospiraceae
Description: bacterial SSU rRNA
Rfam family: Bacterial small subunit ribosomal RNA
Source: RNAcentral